GACGAACGCUGGCGGCGUGCUUAACACAUGCAAGUCGAACGGAAAGGCCCUGCUUUUGUGGGGUGCUCGAGUGGCGAACGGGUGAGUAACACGUGAGUAACCUGCCCUUGACUUUGGGAUAACUUCAGGAAACUGGGGCUAAUACCGGAUAGGAGCUCCUGCUGCAUGGUGGGGGUUGGAAAGUUUCGGCGGGUGGGGAUGGACUCGCGGCUUAUCAGCUUGUUGGUGGGGUAGUGGCUUACCAAGGCUUUGACGGGUAGCCGGCCUGAGAGGGUGACCGGCCACAUUGGGACUGAGAUACGGCCCAGACUCCUACGGGAGGCAGCAGUGGGGAAUAUUGCACAAUGGGCGGAAGCCUGAUGCAGCAACGCCGCGUGCGGGAUGACGGCCUUCGGGUUGUAAACCGCUUUCGCCUGUGACGAAGCGGGAGUGACGGUAAUGGGUAAAGAAGCACCGGCUAACUACGUG
Molecule: ribosomal RNA, 468 nt
Filed under: uncultured bacterium
Lineage: Bacteria
Description: partial 16S ribosomal RNA
Rfam family: Bacterial small subunit ribosomal RNA
Source: RNAcentral